UACGUAGGUGACAAGCGUUGUCCGGAUUUACUGGGCGUAAAGAGCGCGCAGGCGGUCGAUCAAGUCGAGUGUGAAAGCCCCCGGCUCAACUGGGGAGGGUCAUUCGAAACUGAUCGACUUGAAGGCAGGAGAGGGUAGUGGAAUUCCCGGUGUAGUGGUGAAAUGCGUAGAUAUCGGGAGGAACACCAGUGGCGAAGGCGACUACCUGGCCUGUUCUUGACGCUGAGGCGCGAAAGCUAGGGGAGCAAACGGG
RNAcentral lists this ribosomal RNA (253 nucleotides) under uncultured bacterium. RNAcentral describes it as "partial 16S ribosomal RNA". It matches the Rfam family "Bacterial small subunit ribosomal RNA", at positions 524 to 776 of the family's 1533-position model. The record is from RNAcentral.